AAUCUCAGUUCGGAUUGUAGGCUGCAACUCGCCUACAUGAAGUUGGAAUCGCUAGUAAUCGCGAAUCAGAAUGUCGCGGUGAAUACGUUCCCGGGUCUUGUACACACCGCCCGUCANACCACGAGAGUUUACAACACCCGAAGUCAGUGGCCUAACCGCAAGGAGGGAGCUGCCUAAGGUGGGGCAGAUGAUUGGGGUGAAGUCGUAACAAGGUAAC
Molecule: ribosomal RNA, 217 nt
Filed under: uncultured bacterium
Lineage: Bacteria
Description: partial 16S ribosomal RNA
Rfam family: Bacterial small subunit ribosomal RNA
Source: RNAcentral